UUUCGCGCAGAACGUUCCCAGAGGCGGCGCGCGCCACUCGCAUCAGCAUACCCUCAUUCAGCGCGCUGGCUCCGUCGUCAGCUGUACAUCACCAAUACUUCAGUAGGCAAUAUCAGCUGUUGAUGGGAGUAGGCGACGCAGGCCAGCAGCACGGCCGCUGUCAUCAUCAGUACGGGCCUCAUGUUGUGUGGGUGAGAUGGCUGUGAUCA
Aricia agestis (brown argus) is the source of this 209-nucleotide long non-coding RNA. RefSeq lists it as uncharacterized. NCBI's taxonomy places the organism in Eukaryota, Metazoa, Arthropoda, Insecta, Lepidoptera, Lycaenidae. The transcript has 2 exons. The record is from RefSeq and is a predicted model, not a curated record.